Molecule: non-coding RNA, 42 nt
Filed under: Lingulaulax polyedra
Lineage: Eukaryota; Dinophyceae; Gonyaulacales; Lingulodiniaceae
Source: RNAcentral
AUGAGCGUGCUGGUGCUGGACGCCCUGUGGCUGCUGCUCUGG